AUUGAACGCUGGCGGCAGGCUUAACACAUGCAAGUCGAACGAUGAUUAUCUAGCUUGCUAGAUAUGAUUAGUGGCGGACGGGUGAGUAACAUUUAGGAAUCUGCCUAGUAGUGGGGGAUAGCUCGGGGAAACUCGAAUUAAUACCGCAUACGACCUACGGGUGAAAGGGGGCGCAAGCUCUUGCUAUUAGAUGAGCCUAAAUCAGAUUAGCUAGUUGGUGGGGUAAAGGCUCACCAAGGCGACGAUCUGUAACUGGUCUGAGAGGAUGAUCAGUCACACCGGAACUGAGACACGGUCCGGACUCCUACGGGAGGCAGCAGUGGGGAAUAUUGGACAAUGGGGGCAACCCUGAUCCAGCCAUGCCGCGUGUGUGGAGAAGGCCUUUUGGUUGUAAAGCACUUUAAGCAGGGAGGAGAGGCUAAUGGUUAAUACCCAUUAGAUUAGACGUUACCUGCAGAAUAAGCACCGGCUAACUCUGUGCCAGCAGCCGCGGUAAUACAGAGGGUGCGAGCGUUAAUCGGAAUUACUGGGCGUAAAGCGAGUGUAGGUGGCUCAUUAAGUCACAUGUGAAAUCCCCGGGCUUAACCUGGGAACUGCAUGUGAUACUGGUGGUGCUAGAAUAUGUGAGAGGGAAGUAGAAUUCCAGGUGUAGCGGUGAAAUGCGUAGAGAUCUGGAGGAAUACCGAUGGCGAAGGCAGCUUCCUGGCAUAAUAUUGACACUGAGAUUCGAAAGCGUGGGUAGCAAACAGGAUUAGAUACCCUGGUAGUCCACGCCGUAAACGAUGUCUACUAGCCGUUGGGGUCCUUGAGACUUUAGUGGCGCAGUUAACGCGAUAAGUAGACCGCCUGGGGAGUACGGCCGCAAGGUUAAAACUCAAAUGAAUUGACGGGGGCCCGCACAAGCGGUGGAGCAUGUGGUUUAAUUCGAUGCAACGCGAAGAACCUUACCUGGUCUUGACAUAGUGAGAAUCCUGCAGAGAUGCGGGAGUGCCUUCGGGAAUUCACAUACAGGUGCUGCAUGGCUGUCGUCAGCUCGUGUCGUGAGAUGUUGGGUUAAGUCCCGCAACGAGCGCAACCCUUUUCCUUAUUUGCCAGCGGGUUAAGCCGGGAACUUUAAGGAUACUGCCAGUGACAAACUGGAGGAAGGCGGGGACGACGUCAAGUCAUCAUGGCCCUUACGACCAGGGCUACACACGUGCUACAAUGGUAGGUACAGAGGGUUGCUACACAGCGAUGUGAUGCUAAUCUCAAAAAGCCUAUCGUAGUCCGGAUUGGAGUCUGCAACUCGACUCCAUGAAGUCGGAAUCGCUAGUAAUCGCAGAUCAGAAUGCUGCGGUGAAUACGUUCCCGGGCCUUGUACACACCGCCCGUCACACCAUGGGAGUCUAUUGCACCAGAAGUAGGUAGCCUAACGAAAGAGGGCGCUUACCACGGUGUGGUCGAUGACUGGGGUG
RNAcentral lists this ribosomal RNA (1454 nucleotides) under uncultured bacterium. RNAcentral describes it as "bacterial SSU rRNA". It matches the Rfam family "Bacterial small subunit ribosomal RNA". The record is from RNAcentral.